CAGCAUAUAUGUAGACCUCGCCUGGCUGUCUUUAUGGUCAGCCGAGGGGGACUGUGUAUGCAGGAGUGGCGUGGAGUUCCUGCCAGCUCUGACCAGUUGAGUCAGUGGCUGGGUGAAUCGCAGGGCUCCAGCGUUC
Molecule: small nucleolar RNA, 136 nt
Filed under: Chinchilla lanigera (long-tailed chinchilla)
Lineage: Eukaryota; Metazoa; Chordata; Mammalia; Rodentia; Chinchillidae
Description: Small nucleolar RNA SNORA58 (ENSCLAG00000021922.1)
Rfam family: Small nucleolar RNA SNORA58
About the family: ACA52 is a member of the H/ACA class of snoRNA that guide the sites of modification of uridines to pseudouridines.
Source: Rfam by way of RNAcentral